This is a long non-coding RNA of Alnus glutinosa, 823 nucleotides long. RefSeq lists it as uncharacterized. The transcript is spliced from 3 exons. NCBI's taxonomy places the organism in Eukaryota, Viridiplantae, Streptophyta, Magnoliopsida, Fagales, Betulaceae. The record is from RefSeq and is a predicted model, not a curated record.
CUUUUCUUUUCCUCUCUGCUCUCUAUUCUUCACGCACGCUCUCUUCCUCUUCCUUUCUUCUCCUUUUCUUUUUUUUCCUCUUUCCUCUAUUCCGCACACCCCACUUAGCCGAAUCUCUCCUCUCCCCAUUUCUUCAUUCUCCUUUCUUCUGCAUACUAUCACGCACAUGGAGAUAUAGAGACCGUGAGAGAGAUUGAUCGAGUGAGAGAGAGAGCUCUAGUCGAGAGUGGUCGGAGACCCGAAAAUCCAUGGGUCCCGAUGGUUGAUGCUGUUGACACCGUGGAGCAAAGGCAUCGGUGUUCAGUGGGUGGGUUGUCUUCGGUGACCAAUUUUCGGACAAGACUUUCAGCAAUUUUUCCGGUGAGUGAGGUAGAUGUUUUUCGGUGAAAUCAGAGGUGCUGUCCGGCAAUUUUUUGUGUAAUUCUCCAGUGGCUUGGGGGAUGAUGUUUGGUGGAUGUUCAGACGAAAAUCCUCAAGGAUCGUGUCCGAAUUGGAGACUUUAAUUGGUUCUUCAAUGUAGAGUUUGAGUAACUAGAAUCCAAGCGAAUAUUCGAGUCAAAAGUCCAAUGCAGCCAAUAUGUUCCUCUGGCUGCAAGUAUUUCGGUCGUAGUUGAUGAUGUUGUAGAAGUAUGCUUGGGAUAUUAUGACUGAAGCACGCCGCUACGGUUGUAAUUGUCGGACCAUGGGUUGUCCACUAUUUUAUAGGUUUGUUUAUAUCUUGUGAUGCAUGUGUCACUUGUUAAUGUAUAAAGUCAUUUAUGUUAUGUAUUUAAUUUGAGGAAAGAUUUAAUCAUAUAGUUAUUUAAUGGCUCUUUGUUGUAAA